CCUUAGGCAAAUCCGGGACCCUUUAUGCCGAGCACCGAGACGAGCCCUAUUGGGCGAAGUGACUGACACCACGCUUCCAGGAAAAGCCACUAAGCUUCAGCUAUAGAAGAACCGUACCGCAAACCGACACUGGUAGGCAGGGUGAGAAUCCCAAGGCGCUUGAGAGAACUCGGGUGAAGGAACUAGGCAAAAUGGCACCGUAACUUCGGGAGAAGGUGCGCCCUUUAGCGUGGUCACAUGCGUGACUGAGCGUUGAAGGGUCGCAGUAACCUGGCCGCUGCGACUGUUUAUCAAAAACACAGCACUCUGCAAACACGAAAGUGGACGUAUAGGGUGUGACGCCUGCCCGGUGCUGGAAGGUUAAUUGAUGGGGUCAGCCGCAAGGCGAAGCUCUUGAUCGAAGCCCCAGUAAACGGCGGCCGUAACAAUAACGGUCCUAAGGUAGCGAAAUUCCUUGUCGGGUAAGUUCCGACCUGCACGAAUGGCGUAACGACAGCGGCGCUGUCUCCACCCGAGACUCAGUGAAAUUGAAUUCGCUGUGAAGAUGCAGCGUUCCCGCGGCAAGACGGAAAGACCCCGUGAACCUUUACUAUAGCUUUACAUUGAACGUUGAGUUCUUCUGUGUAGGAUAGGUGGGAGGCUUUGAAGUGCAGGCGCUAGCUUGCAUGGAGCCAACCUUGAAAUACCACCCUGAAGUGCUUGACGUUCUAACCUCGACCCGUCAUCCGGGUCAGGGACCAUGUAUGGUGGGUAGUUUGACUGGGGCGGUCUCCUCCCAAAGAGUAACGGAGGAGCACGAAGGUACGCUCAGCGCGGUCGGACAUCGCGCACUGUGUGCAAUGGCAUAAGCGUGCUUGACUGCGAGAUCGACGGAUCAAGCAGGUACGAAAGUAGGUCAUAGUGAUCCGGUGGUUCUGUAUGGAAGGGCCAUCGCUCAACGGAUAAAAGGUACUCCGGGGAUAACAGGCUGAUACCGCCCAAGAGUUCAUAUCGACGGCGGUGUUUGGCACCUCGAUGUCGGCUCAUCACAUCCUGGGGCUGUAGCCGGUCCCAAGGGUAUGGCUGUUCGCCAUUUAAAGUGGUACGCGAGCUGGGUUCAGAACGUCGUGAGACAGUUCGGUCCCUAUCUGUCGUGGGCGUUGGAGAUUUGAGGGGGGCUGCUCCUAGUACGAGAGGACCGGAGUGGACGUUCCGCUGGUGUUCGGGUUGUCAUGCCCAUGGCAUUGCCCGGUAGCUAUGAACGGAAGUGAUAACCGCUGAAAGCAUCUAAGCGGGAAGCACGCCCCAAGAUGAGAUCUCCCGAGAGCUUGACUCUCCUUAAGGCACCAUCAAGACCAGGUGGUUGAUAGGUCAGGUGUGGAAGUGCAGCAAUGCAUGGAGCUAACUGAUACUAAUGAGCCGUGAGGCUUGAUCAA
This 1415-nucleotide ribosomal RNA is filed under the name metagenome. RNAcentral describes it as "bacterial LSU rRNA". It matches the Rfam family "Bacterial large subunit ribosomal RNA", at positions 1530 to 2925 of the family's 2925-position model. The record is from RNAcentral.